RNAcentral lists this unclassified non-coding RNA (2039 nucleotides) under Hevea brasiliensis (rubber tree). The record is from RNAcentral. Lineage: Eukaryota; Viridiplantae; Streptophyta; Magnoliopsida; Malpighiales; Euphorbiaceae.
GGCAGUGCAGACACUGUGAGAAGGUGACAUAUCAUUCUUACCCCCUUCUCUUAGAGUUCAGAACAUCCAAAUUCUGCUUACUUGUUCAAUGAUGCACAUCUACAUUUUCUUAGUAGAUAUGUCUUUAUUCUCUUAAAAGCCAAAGGCCCCAAUUGGCAUCUAACCUUAGGUCCAAUAAUCAAAUAGGCCCCUGAUUUUUUUUUUUGUGCAGUCAAUUGGGUCAUUUAUUGUCUAUUUUAACUCAAUUUAGCCCUAAUUUAACGGAUUCAGUUAAUUUUCUGUUUAUAUGAAACUCAUAAAAAUAAUAAAAUAUUAUCUAGAAAAAGAAUCCGAGAAAUUUAUUCUUCCUUUCAAAGAAAAUCUACCCAGAAGAAGAAAUCUGCCGAGCUUCCAGAUUUCCUCACAAUUGUUGUUGCUGUAGCUGUUGUAGUUGUCACCGCACCUUUUCUACUGGCUGGACCCAUUUACCAUGUCAGUCUGGUGACUAAUAUUUGCAACAAGAACAGAGAAAACAAAAUAAGAGCAAUAAAUUUAUACAGUGUAGACUAGAAGACAGAAAAUUUAAUACAUAAAUAAAGAGGAAAGUAAAGUAUAAAUGAACUAAAGAUGGAAAAAAAAAAAAAAUUUGAUGGUAAUCUUAAAGUUCUGAAUUGAUCGUGAAAGGAAGUAUUUGAAAGGCCCAAUGGGUGAGUCUUGGGGCAAACCAUAGAGUUUACCACCAUUGUCCUCCUCUCCUUGCGGCCUCCUCUGGUGCUCUUUCGUUGAUACCCACAAGAAUUCAUUUUCAAUGAUUUUUCACACCACAAACCCAUGUCAAUAUAAAUAAGAUUUGUGAAAUUGUACAAUAAACCAACAAAAAAUUAAUACUAAAAAAACUAAAAAUUUGGGUAAGCAAAAGAAAUUGAAGUUGUUCGAAGUUUCAAAAGUUAGCCUUUUUCCAAGAAGGAAAAAAAAAUUUCAGCCAACCAAACAGAAAACUGCAAAAUUACACAAUAAAUGUAUCCACAGAGAGAGAGAUGAGACAAAAGCAGCUUGUAUUUAUAUCGUGUAAUAUGUCAUAAAGAAAAAAAAAUUCAAGAAAAUAAAAAUGAGCUCAUGAGAUAAGAUAAGAGGUUAAGAAGAGUGUGGCCAUUCCUUUCAAUCUCCGCAUUCCUUUCUCAAAAACUUUUUGGUCUUUCUUAGAAAACCAUUUACUGUUAGUUCAAAUUAUAGCUUCUGCUGGGUAGAUUUUCUUUGAGUGAAGAACAAAUCUGGUUUUGAGUUUUUCUUUUCUUAGAUAAUAUUUUAUUAUUUUUGUGGGCUCCAGAUGCUUUAGUUGAUGGAAAAUUAAUGGAAUUCAUUAAAUUAGGGCUAAUUGAGCUAAAAUAGAAGUUAAUUUGGGCCUUUGGCCUUUCUUAAAUGGAUUUAAAAAUGAUUUCUGGUUCCUAAAAAAUUCUUAUUUUGGUCCUAACGUUUUCUGUUUAAUGUCAUACUAGAAAUCUUCUCCUCCUUGCCUUUAUUCUUCUUCUUUUAUAAUUAUUAUAGUCUUCAUUUUUUUAUAAUUAUUUUGUUUUUUCUUUUCUAAAACAGUUGGUGGUGAUUGAAAACAAGUAUAGUUGUUAAUAAACAAAAUGAAGGCAUAUAAUGAGUGCAUGUUCGUACCGGAUUUAGUACCUAUUUGGCUUUAAUGUUGAAAUUUCUAUUUUUAAAAUGCAUCCUUUAGAUUGGAACUCAUUUUUAGAGGGUUUUAACUUUUUUUAUAACGAAAAUAUAUCCUAUCUACCUUAAAAACCAUUUAUAAUUGCUUUUGAUUAAAAAUACAACAACAACAACAACGACAUAAACUACAACAACGUGUAGACUCCUAAGGAUUGUGGUUGGGAAGCCAAAAAGUUAGUUUAAAAUUGUUUUUGCCUUGGAAAACGCACCAUUUUAGAUACUGAUGAAACUUGAAAAAACAAUUUGAAAAAGCCGUCUUGCUGUUUUGAAAUUCUUAUGAUUAAAACAUAUUAAAUUUAAUUUUCCACUAACUAGCAUAUUUAAAAAAGAUAAUUUUCUGG